GAUGAACGCUGGCGGCGUGCCUAAUACAUGCAAGUCGAGCGAACAGAUGAGGAGCUUGCUCCUCUGACGUUAGCGGCGGACGGGUGAGUAACACGUGGAUAACCUACCUAUAAGACUGGGAUAACUUCGGGAAACCGGAGCUAAUACCGGAUAAUAUAUUGAACCGCAUGGUUCAAUAGUGAAAGACGGUUUUGCUGUCACUUAUAGAUGGAUCCGCGCCGCAUUAGCUAGUUGGUAAGGUGACGGCUUACCAAGGCAACGAUGCGUAGCCGACCUGAGAGGGUGAUCGGCCACACUGGAACUGAGACACGGUCCAGACUCCUACGGGAGGCAGCAGUAGGGAAUCUUCCGCAAUGGGCGAAAGCCUGACGGAGCAACGCCGCGUGAGUGAUGAAGGUCUUCGGAUCGUAAAACUCUGUUAUUAGGGGAGAACAAAUGUGUAAGUAACUAUGCACGUCUUGACGGUACCUAAUCAGAAAGCCACGGCUAACUACGUG
Molecule: ribosomal RNA, 497 nt
Filed under: uncultured bacterium
Lineage: Bacteria
Description: partial 16S ribosomal RNA
Rfam family: Bacterial small subunit ribosomal RNA
Source: RNAcentral